UGGGGAAUAUUGCACAAUGGGCGCAAGCCUGAUGCAGCCAUGCCGCGUGUGUGAAGAAGGCCUUCGGGUUGUAAAGCACUUUCAGCGGGGAGGAAGGCGUUAAGGUUAAUAACCUUGGCGAUUGACGUUACCCGCAGAAGAAGCACCGGCUAACUCCGUGCCAGCAGCCGCGGUAAUACGGAGGGUGCAAGCGUUAAUCGGAAUUACUGGGCGUAAAGCGCACGCAGGCGGUCUGUCAAGUCGGAUGUGAAAUCCCCGGGCUCAAACUGGGAACUGCAUUCGAAACUGGCAGGCUAGAGGCUUGUAGAGGGGGGUAGAAUUCCAGGGGUAGCGGUGAAAUGCGGAGAGAUCUGGAGGAAUACCGGUGGCGAAGGCGGCCCCCUGGACAAAGACUGACGCUCAGGUGCGAAAGCGUGGGGAGCAAACAGG
RNAcentral lists this ribosomal RNA (429 nucleotides) under Chloroflexota bacterium. RNAcentral describes it as "Chloroflexi bacterium partial 16S ribosomal RNA". It matches the Rfam family "Bacterial small subunit ribosomal RNA", at positions 355 to 776 of the family's 1533-position model. Lineage: Bacteria; Bacillati; Chloroflexota. The record is from RNAcentral.